This is a small nuclear RNA of Cricetulus griseus (Chinese hamster), 107 nucleotides long. NCBI's taxonomy places the organism in Eukaryota, Metazoa, Chordata, Mammalia, Rodentia, Cricetidae. The record is from Ensembl.
GUGCUCGCUUCAGCAGCGCAUACACUGAAGUUGGAAUGAUACAGAGAAGAUUAGCAUGGCCCCUGUGCAAGAAUGAUAUGCAAAUUCAUGAAGCAUUCCAUAUUUUC